UGAGAGGAAGGUCAGCAGGCAGACAGGGC
RNAcentral lists this non-coding RNA (29 nucleotides) under Homo sapiens (human). The record is from RNAcentral. Lineage: Eukaryota; Metazoa; Chordata; Mammalia; Primates; Hominidae.